CAAGGGAACUGGGGAUAAUCCCNCAUAGGGGAGGAGUCCUGGAACGGUUCCUCCCUUAAAGGGGUAUGGGCUAUUUCCCGCUCAUACCCGCCCGAGGAUGGGGCUGCGGCCCAUCAGGCUGUUGGCGGGGUAACGGCCCGCCAAACCUAUAACGGGUAGGGGCCGUGGGAGCGGGAGCCCCCAGUUGGGCACUGAGACAAGGGCCCAGGCCCUACGGGGCGCACCAGGCGGGAAACGUCCCCAAUGCGCGAAAGCGUGAGGGCGCUACCCCGAGUGCCCCCGUAAGGGGGCUUUUCCCCGCUCUAAAAAGGCGGGGGAAUAAGCGGGGGGCAAGUCUGGUGUCAGCCGCCGCGGUAACACCAGCUCCGCGAGUGGUCGGGACGCUUACUGGGCCUAAAGCGCCUGUAGCCGGCCCACUAAGUCGCCCCUUAAAGACCCGGGCUCAACCCGGGAAAUGGGGGCGAUACUGGUGGGCUAGGGGGCGGGAGAGGCUAGGGGUACUCCCAGAGGAGGGGCGAAAUCCGUAGAUCCUGGGAGGACCACCAGUGGCGGAGGCGCCUAGCUAGAACGCGCCCGACGGUGAGAGGCGAAAGCCGGGGCAGCAAAUGGGAUUAGAUACCCCAGUAGUCCCGGCUGUAAACGAUGCGGGCUAGGUGUCAGGUGGGCUUAGAGCUCACCUGGUGCCGCANGGAAAGCCGUUAAGCCCGCCGCCUGGGGAGUACGGUCGCAAGACUGAACUUAANGAAUUGGCGGGGACACCACAAGGGUGGAACUGCGCUCAUUGAAUCACGCUGGAUCUACNGGGANACNCAGANACGCAGCUACACUGCUAUCCGAAGAGUCUGCUCCAUCUUUUNAUUCUGUAUAGACACAACCNCCUAUGUCCUUCGNGGCCAUAGAUCCUUNGAAAAGCGAUNUCACGCCGUAGGAGUNCAGACCCCUAGAC
RNAcentral lists this ribosomal RNA (946 nucleotides) under Sulfolobus sp. Tu A. RNAcentral's name for it is "bacterial SSU rRNA". It matches the Rfam family "Archaeal small subunit ribosomal RNA", at positions 132 to 999 of the family's 1478-position model. The record is from RNAcentral. Lineage: Archaea; Thermoproteati; Thermoproteota; Thermoprotei; Sulfolobales; Sulfolobaceae.